Molecule: long non-coding RNA, 2581 nt
Organism: Fundulus heteroclitus (mummichog)
Lineage: Eukaryota; Metazoa; Chordata; Actinopteri; Cyprinodontiformes; Fundulidae
Exons: 6
Source: RefSeq, a predicted model, not a curated record
AAUUAUGACUUCCUGUUGGUCUUUUAUUUUUUCCUUCAUGGUGGAAAUGGGCUUCCAUAAUAACUUGCAAAAAGGAAAAAAAUAAAUUCUGGUCAGGAGUAUGUAAACAUGGCAUGAAACUUUUUGCCUUUGGUCUGGUCUUCAAACUUUCUCGCCCUUUUUUUCCCCCUCACAGAUCUGCUGUGUAUAACACUGCAUGUGGCAGUAUUUUCUUCUUUUCAGACACCGUCUUCACAACAUUUGCCAGGUCAUCAAAAAGCUCCCACACAAAUGGAGCUCUCCGGCAGUAUGCAGUGUAAUGUCCCAGUCCAUCUUUGGUCAAGCUUCCCCUGAAAGCGACGACUGCUCUCAAAGUACAUUUUUUUCCUUGCAGAACCAUAGUGGAGGGAAAUUCACUCAAAGCAAAAUCAUUUGAAUUUGGAAGGUCUGUGUCAAUCCAUGCUAUUUCUCCGAUACUGUAGUUGUGAGUAACGGUUCCUGCACAGAGAGCAUUUCCUGAAGUGCUGGCUCCUGUUUUUAAUUCUGCUGGACAUUCUGAUUCAUUCUGCAGUGGUCUGAGGCAGGGAGACUGUGGAAGGAAGAGUCCUUUUUCUAUGGAAGUGUGAAGCUGUGCCAUACCAGAAUUCUUCAGGACAGAAAUGUCUGGUGAAACAAAUGGUACUUCCCUGGUCAUUCCUUUGUUUAGGUGGCAGUAUUGUGAAGAGCAGUGUUUUGAGAGGUAAACACUUGACACAUUUCUCAUUGUCUUCCCAAUAACAGUGGCAAUAUUGCACUGUGCAUCGAUUUGAUGAUGAAUCUGCAUGGAGCCAUUCAGUGCAGGAACUCAAGUAUGAAGUCCUCUUCCUCUUUUUGGGUGGAAGAAUUUGUCCUCUCCAGUUUUCAACCACGUUUUCAUCUGCUGUGGAAAGGUUUUUGGCGGGAUCAGAUUCCAUUAAAUCGCUAGAAUCCAUUUUUGUUUUUUCUUCAGCAUUGUGUGUAAUUACUGACGCAGGAUUAGCUUCUGCAACGUCUGCUGAUGUAACUUGUUCCUCCUCUCUUUUUGCUUUGGCAGAGCAAAUCUGCAUAUUUCCUUCGAUGAAGGAAAGGUGCCGAGAAAUGAAGCGAUCCACUCGAAUGGGCAAGUUCUCAUGUUUGAACAGGCCAUGUUUUAUAUUUUUGAAUUCGGCUUCAACAUUGGCUGAGCUUGCUGUGAGACUGGUGCUUUUGAAGAGGGGAACCAUUAUUCCUGUCCACAGUGCAUGUGUCCUGCUCUCCUCACAAAUGUUUGACACCCAGUCUCGUAGGUCAGUCUGGAUGUCAUUACAUGGAUCCACUUGAUGAACUUCCUUUGUGUCUUCAUCUGGAAUGAUGAUGGAGUCUUCUGCAAUCUGGGUUUUCAGGCAGUCCCACUGGCAGACCAUCUUUAUGCAGUGUGCAACAUCAACCCUGAUAUAACAGGGAGGAAGUUUUGCAGACUGGUUCCCAAGUAGCACAUGGAAGCAUUCAUCAAUGUAUGAUUUCAGGUUAGGACAAGGAGUGAAGGCCUUCACCAGAGCACCAAGAAUAGCCAGGGAAAAGUCACUCACAGCUUCUUUUGAACACCUUGGUAUAAGAAGAUGUGGCCAGAUGUACCAUUUGGUCUUGCCAGUUUUCUGACAACUGAACCAGUUGCAUCAAAGCAAACUACUGAGGGACAUUUUUUGGUUGCCAGGUUUGGAAGGUGACUUGGCUCGGGAUCUCCAAUAUCCAUCAACUCUGAUGCCUUUGCUGACCUCCAUACAGAUAGUUCCAUCCUGCCCUCACACAACUCUUCUGAAAUUUGUGAACGAAGGGUUCCUGACAUGAAUCUUUUGGACUGGCCAGUGUGCAGGGAGAUGUCGGCGCCUUCAAUGGAAGGCUGGAGCACCAUUGGGCUGUUGACCGUUGGCUCUCUGUCACAUGUCAUUUUAACACGACUUUGACACUCUUUACAGAAACCUGUGAUGUCAAUGUACUUACUAGUGACAGUUGGAUAAACUUUUGCUCAUUGGAAUACAAAUGUACAAGUGCUUUUCAACUUUUUCCAAACCAGAUCAUUAAUUAUAUGACUCCAUGUGCCAGGUUUUAAAAUUGUGUAAUUCCUUUUACAAGAUGAUGAAAACUUGUCAUUAUAUUCAACUUUUUGUGGUAUAAAUUUAAUCCAUUCUUCAAAUGGAACGUCGAGCUGAAAAUCUGAACAUUGACCAGGAGAAGUGGUGUCUGAGUCAAACUCUGUGUCCACAGGGCUUUCAGGAUCACUUCCUUGAUUAACUUCCAAGCAUGACCAGAUGUUGUGUCUGUUCAGCUUUACAAAUGUAUACAGACUUUUUGCAGACAUUUUUUUUCCCAACUGCUGACUUAUCUCUGUCCAGACAGCGGCAGCUGGAGUAGCUAUAUGGCCGUUUUCUAGAAUGGCCUCUUUUGAGUUGCAAAGAACUGCGAAAAGAGACUCUCUGUCUACCGCUGGCUGUCGAGGCAUCUAGUUAAAAAAAUAAAAAGGCUUUGAUUAGCAUUGCUUAAAAUAAUCAGUGCCUACAUGAUUUCAAAAUAUUAGCAUUAUUUGUUUUUGUCUUUUAUUAAACAU